AUUCUUCAUCCUCAUUCUCCAGGUGGAUGCCUGAUUUCUUCUUUAAUUCUUCAUCCUCAUUCUCCAGGUGGACGCCUGAUUUCUUCUUCAAUUCUUCAUCCUCAUUCUCCAGGUGGAUGCCUGACUUCUUAAAUUCUUCAUCCUCAUUCUCCAGGUAGACGCCUGAUUUCUUCUUCAAUUCUUCAUCCUCAUUCUCCAGGUGGACGCCUGACUUCUUCUUAAAUUCUUCAUCCUCAUUCUCCAGGUGGAUGCCUGAUUUCUUCUUUAAUUCUACAUCCUCAUUCUCCAGGUGGACGCCUGAUUUCUUCUUUAAUUCUUCAUCCUCAUUCUCCAGGUGGACGCUUGAUUUCUUCUUUAAUUCUUCAUCCUCAUUUUCCAGGUGGACGCCUGACUUCUUCUUAAAUUCUUCAUCCUCAUUCUCCAGAUGGACGCCUGAUUUCUUCUUUAAUUCUUCAUCCUCAUUCUCCAGGUGGACGCCUGA
This 481-nucleotide long non-coding RNA is filed under the name Nicotiana tabacum (common tobacco). RNAcentral describes it as "long non-coding RNA (NTAB_LNC006601)". The record is from RNAcentral. Lineage: Eukaryota; Viridiplantae; Streptophyta; Magnoliopsida; Solanales; Solanaceae.